GUCACAAGCUCAAGUACAGCUUCAUCCAAUUCAGAAAGUCUGUCUGCAUCUUCUAAAGCUCUGUUUCCUAGCACAGCACAAGCUCAGGCAGCUGUCCAAGGACCUGUUGGUACAGAUUUCAAACCCUUAAAUAGUACCCCUGCAACAACUACAGAACCCCCAAAGCCUACAUUCCCUGCUUAUACACAGUCUACAGCUUCAACAACUAGUACAACAAAUAGUACUGCAGCUAAACCAGCGGCUUCAAUAACAAGAAGAGAGAAGGGCACAGUUACCUAAGUAUCAACGUAAUCUUCCUCGGCCAGGACAGGCCCCCAUCGGUAAUCCACCAGUUGGACCAAUUGGAGGUAUGAUGCCACCACAGCCAGGCAUCCCACAGCAACAAGGAAUGAGACCCCCAAUGCCACCUCAUGGUCAGUAUGGUGGUCAUCAUCAAGGCAUGCCAGGAUACCUUCCUGGUGCUAUGCCCCCGUAUGGGCAGGGACCGCCAAUGGUGCCCCCUUACCAGGGUGGGCCUCCUCGACCUCCGAUGGGAAUGAGACCUCCUGUAAUGUCGCAAGGUGGCCGUUACUGAUCUUACUUCAUCCAGUCUAAUAGCCCUGCCAUAGGACAGGCUGAGGCUGAGUCUCAGUGUUGCCCUGUUCAGUCUGAGGCAAAAUUUCAGCAUUUGCUACUUACUGGUAGAGAAGAAAAAUCCCACAGCCCUGCCAGUACAGGUUAGUUUAAUCUGUAAGUACCUGAUGUUCCUAUUUUUUUCAAACAUAUCCAU
RNAcentral lists this long non-coding RNA (769 nucleotides) under Homo sapiens (human). RNAcentral describes it as "HSALNT0239455". Lineage: Eukaryota; Metazoa; Chordata; Mammalia; Primates; Hominidae. The record is from RNAcentral.